Molecule: ribosomal RNA, 1540 nt
Filed under: Staphylococcus aureus F16432
Lineage: Bacteria; Bacillati; Bacillota; Bacilli; Caryophanales; Staphylococcaceae
Description: 16S ribosomal RNA
Rfam family: Bacterial small subunit ribosomal RNA
Source: RNAcentral
AGAGUUUGAUCCUGGCUCAGGAUGAACGCUGGCGGCGUGCCUAAUACAUGCAAGUCGAGCGAACGGACGAGAAGCUUGCUUUUCUGAUGUUAGCGGCGGACGGGUGAGUAACACGUGGAUAACCUACCUAUAAGACUGGGAUAACUUCGGGAAACCGGAGCUAAUACCGGAUAAUAUUUUGAACCGCAUGGUUCAAAAGUGAAAGACGGUCUUGCUGUCACUUAUAGAUGGAUCCGCGCUGCAUUAGCUAGUUGGUAAGGUAACGGCUUACCAAGGCAACGAUGCAUAGCCGACCUGAGAGGGUGAUCGGCCACACUGGAACUGAGACACGGUCCAGACUCCUACGGGAGGCAGCAGUAGGGAAUCUUCCGCAAUGGGCGAAAGCCUGACGGAGCAACGCCGCGUGAGUGAUGAAGGUCUUCGGAUCGUAAAACUCUGUUAUUAGGGAAGAACAUAUGUGUAAGUAACUGUGCACAUCUUGACGGUACCUAAUCAGAAAGCCACGGCUAACUACGUGCCAGCAGCCGCGGUAAUACGUAGGUGGCAAGCGUUAUCCGGAAUUAUUGGGCGUAAAGCGCGCGUAGGCGGUUUUUUAAGUCUGAUGUGAAAGCCCACGGCUCAACCGUGGAGGGUCAUUGGAAACUGGAAAACUUGAGUGCAGAAGAGGAAAGUGGAAUUCCAUGUGUAGCGGUGAAAUGCGCAGAGAUAUGGAGGAACACCAGUGGCGAAGGCGACUUUCUGGUCUGUAACUGACGCUGAUGUGCGAAAGCGUGGGGAUCAAACAGGAUUAGAUACCCUGGUAGUCCACGCCGUAAACGAUGAGUGCUAAGUGUUAGGGGGUUUCCGCCCCUUAGUGCUGCAGCUAACGCAUUAAGCACUCCGCCUGGGGAGUACGACCGCAAGGUUGAAACUCAAAGGAAUUGACGGGGACCCGCACAAGCGGUGGAGCAUGUGGUUUAAUUCGAAGCAACGCGAAGAACCUUACCAAAUCUUGACAUCCUUUGACAACUCUAGAGAUAGAGCUUUCCCCUUCGGGGGACAAAGUGACAGGUGGUGCAUGGUUGUCGUCAGCUCGUGUCGUGAGAUGUUGGGUUAAGUCCCGCAACGAGCGCAACCCUUAAGCUUAGUUGCCAUCAUUAAGUUGGGCACUCUAAGUUGACUGCCGGUGACAAACCGGAGGAAGGUGGGGAUGACGUCAAAUCAUCAUGCCCCUUAUGAUUUGGGCUACACACGUGCUACAAUGGACAAUACAAAGGGCAGCGAAACCAUGAGGUCAAGCAAAUCCCAUAAAGUUGUUCUCAGUUCGGAUUGUAGUCUGCAACUCGACUACAUGAAGCUGGAAUCGCUAGUAAUCGUAGAUCAGCAUGCUACGGUGAAUACGUUCCCGGGUCUUGUACACACCGCCCGUCACACCACGAGAGUUUGUAACACCCGAAGCCGGUGGAGUAACCUUUUAGGAGCUAGCCGUCGAAGGUGGGACAAAUGAUUGGGGUGAAGUCGUAACAAGGUAGCCGUAUCGGAAGGUGCGGCUGGAUCACCU